UACGGAGGUGGCAAGCGUUGUUCGGAAUUACUGGGCGUAAAGGGCGCGUAGGCGGCUUGGCAAGUCAGAUGUGAAAGCCCCGGGCUUAACUCGGGAAUUGCAUCUGAAACUGCUGAGCUUGAGUCCUGGAGGGGGCAGUGGAAUUCCCAGUGUAGCGGUGAAAUGCGUAGAUAUUGGGAGGAACACCGGCGGCGAAGGCGGCUGCCUGGACAGCGACUGACGCUGAUGCGCGAAAGCUAGGGGAGCAAAC
This 250-nucleotide ribosomal RNA is filed under the name uncultured bacterium. RNAcentral's name for it is "partial 16S ribosomal RNA". It matches the Rfam family "Bacterial small subunit ribosomal RNA", at positions 524 to 773 of the family's 1533-position model. The record is from RNAcentral.